RNAcentral lists this ribosomal RNA (468 nucleotides) under uncultured bacterium. Its description in RNAcentral is "partial 16S ribosomal RNA". It matches the Rfam family "Bacterial small subunit ribosomal RNA", at positions 28 to 507 of the family's 1533-position model. The record is from RNAcentral.
GACGAACGCUGGCGGCGUGCUUAACACAUGCAAGUCGAACGGAAAGGCCCUGCUUUUGUGGGGGGCUCGAGUGGCGAACGGGUGAGUAACACGUGAGUAACCUGCCCUUGACUUUGGGAUAACUUCAGGAAACUGGGGCUAAUACCGGAUAGGAGCUCCUGCUGCAUGGUGGGGGUUGGAAAGUUUCGGCGGUUUGGGAUGGACUCGCGGCUUAUCAGCUUGUUGGUGGGGUAGUGGCUUACCAAGGCUUUGACGGGUAGCCGGCCUGAGAGGGUGACCGGCCACGUUGGGACUGCGAUACGGCCCAGACUCCUACGGGAGGCAGCAGUGGGGAAUAUUGCACAGUGGGCGGAAGCCUGAUGCGGCAACGCCGCGUGCGGGAUGACGGCCUUCGGGUUGUAAACCGCUUUCGCCUGUUACGAAGCGUGAGUGACGGUAAUGGGUAAAGAAGCACCGGCUAACUACGUG